This 229-nucleotide ribosomal RNA is filed under the name uncultured Staphylococcus sp. RNAcentral's name for it is "partial 16S ribosomal RNA". It matches the Rfam family "Bacterial small subunit ribosomal RNA", at positions 111 to 334 of the family's 1533-position model. The record is from RNAcentral. Lineage: Bacteria; Bacillati; Bacillota; Bacilli; Caryophanales; Staphylococcaceae.
UAACACGUGGAUAACCUACCUAUAAGACUGGGAUAACUUCGGGAAACCGGAGCUAAUACCGGAUAAUAUUUUGAACCGCAUGGUUCAAGAGUGAAAGACGGUCUUGCUGUCACUUAUAGAUGGAUCCGCGCUGCAUUAGCUAGUUGGUAAGGUAACGGCUUACCAAGGCAACGAUGCAUAGCCGACCUGAGAGGGUGAUCGGCCACACUGGAACUGAGACACGGUCCAG